This 1456-nucleotide ribosomal RNA is filed under the name Staphylococcus warneri. Its description in RNAcentral is "bacterial SSU rRNA". It matches the Rfam family "Bacterial small subunit ribosomal RNA". Lineage: Bacteria; Bacillati; Bacillota; Bacilli; Caryophanales; Staphylococcaceae. The record is from RNAcentral.
GAUGAACGCUGGCGGCGUGCCUAAUACAUGCAAGUCGAGCGAACAGAUAAGGAGCUUGCUCCUUUGACGUUAGCGGCGGACGGGUGAGUAACACGUGGAUAACCUACCUAUAAGACUGGGAUAACUUCGGGAAACCGGAGCUAAUACCGGAUAACAUAUUGAACCGCAUGGUUCAAUAGUGAAAGGCGGCUUUGCUGUCACUUAUAGAUGGAACCGCGCCGUAUUAGCUAGUUGGUAAGGUAACGGCUUACCAAGGCAACGAUACGUAGCCGACCUGAGAGGGUGAUCGGCCACACUGGAACUGAGACACGGUCCAGACUCCUACGGGAGGCAGCAGUAGGGAAUCUUCCGCAAUGGGCGAAAGCCUGACGGAGCAACGCCGCGUGAGUGAUGAAGGUCUUCGGAUCGUAAAACUCUGUUAUCAGGGAAGAACAAAUGUGUAAGUAACUGUGCACAUCUUGACGGUACCUGAUCAGAAAGCCACGGCUAACUACGUGCCAGCAGCCGCGGUAAUACGUAGGUGGCAAGCGUUAUCCGGAAUUAUUGGGCGUAAAGCGCGCGUAGGCGGUUUUUUAAGUUCUGAUGUGAAAGCCCACGGCUCAACCGUGGAGGGUCAUUGGAAACUGGAAAACUUGAGUGCAGAAGAGGAAAGUGGAAUUCCAUGUGUAGCGGUGAAAUGCGCAGAGAUAUGGAGGAACACCAGUGGCGAAGGCGACUUUCUGGUCUGUAACUGACGCUGAUGUGCGAAAGCGUGGGGAUCAAACAGGAUUAGAUACCCUGGUAGUCCACGCCGUAAACGAUGAGUGCUAAGUGUUAGGGGGUUUCCGCCCCUUAGUGCUGCAGCUAACGCAUUAAGCACUCCGCCUGGGGAGUACGACCGCAAGGUUGAAACUCAAAGGAAUUGACGGGGACCCGCACAAGCGGUGGAGCAUGUGGUUUAAUUCGAAGCAACGCGAAGAACCUUACCAAAUCUUGACAUCCUUUGACCGCUCUAGAGAUAGAGUCUUCCCCUUCGGGGGACAAAGUGACAGGUGGUGCAUGGUUGUCGUCAGCUCGUGUCGUGAGAUGUUGGGUUAAGUCCCGCAACGAGCGCAACCCUUAAGCUUAGUUGCCAUCAUUAAGUUGGGCACUCUAAGUUGACUGCCGGUGACAAACCGGAGGAAGGUGGGGGAUGACGUCAAAUCAUCAUGCCCCCUUAUGAUUUUGGGCUACACACGUGCUACAAUGGACAAUACAAAGGGCAGCUAAACCCGCGAGGUCAAGCAAAUCCCAUAAAAGUUGUUCUCAGUUCGGAUUGUAGUCUGCAACUCGACUACAUGAAGCUGGAAUCGCUAGUAAUCGUAGAUCAGCAUGCUACGGUGAAUACGUUCCCGGGUCUUGUACACACCGCCCGUCACACCACGAGAGUUUGUAACACCCGAAGCCCGGUGGAGUAACCAUUUAUGGAGCUAGCCGU